Molecule: long non-coding RNA, 3006 nt
Filed under: Gossypium raimondii (Peruvian cotton)
Lineage: Eukaryota; Viridiplantae; Streptophyta; Magnoliopsida; Malvales; Malvaceae
Description: long non-coding RNA (GRAI_LNC005700)
Source: RNAcentral
AAACACCAUGGAGGGGCUUCUUCAAGCUGGUUGUUCAUAUUUUUACUACAAGUAAGUUCAAUUCUUGACUAUUUCUUGAAAUUUUUGUAUUUUUAUGACUUUUACAACUAGGCUCACUUGUUAAAUUCAUUAGUUUUUAAUUUUAUGAAAGAAGUUGAAAGUUGAUAUGAAUAUGUGCUGAAAGUAUAUGAUGAUUUAGCAUGGAAUUAGAGCUUUAAAUUGUUCAUAUGCUGAUUUUAUCGAAAGAAUUGAAUAGAAAGUGAAUGUUUGGGACCUAAUAGUAAAAGAGUUUUAAGAUAGGGUUAUAUGUGGAAAUUCUGAAUUUCAAUAGUUGUGUAACAACUUAUAAUGUCUAGUAAAGUAUUAAUUGAGAAAAUUAGAUUAAUUGAGGGGUUAAUUGAGAAAGGACCGGAUUGUAUAAACUGUGAAAUUUGGGGCAAAAUGGAAAUCAACAUUUUGCAUUAAAGCAGUUUUGGACAGUAGCAGUAGUGUAACUUUGAAAAAUCACAAAAAAAUUGUAAAGAUUGAAUUAGAGGAUGAAUAAACUAUGAAAUUAAAGCUUAUUGAGUCUAGUUUCUUAUAAAAGAAACGGUGUGAGCAAUGGAAUUGUAAAUCAUAAGAUAUAAUAGAUUUUGUGAGACAAGGUCAGAAUGAAUUCGGGUUCCCCUGUUCUGACUUUGGAAAAUCAUUAAAAAUUAUAGAAAAAUGAUUAUGAGUUAUAAUUUAUAUGGUUAGAAUCCUUAAUGAGUCUAUUUUUAGAAGAAACAAAUAUAAAUAUCAUCCAAAUUCUGUACAAUGAGAUAAUUAAUUUUUAGUGAAGAAUGGUCGGAACUGUCAGACAGCAAAACAGGGGAAACUUUAAAGAAUAAAAUGUACUGUUUGGCUGAAUCAAAAAUUCUGAAAAUUUUAUGGUAAGAAUUUAUGUGAGUCUAGUUUUGGGGAAAAUUAACGGAUCUUAAUUUGGAGCUCUGUAGCUCCGGAUAAAAAUAAUUUAGUGACUCUGACUCGGAUAAACAGUUUUGAAUAUACAUGUGAGUGAAUAGUGAAAUUAUAGCUAAUGUUGUUUAAGUGUGUUAUGCACAUUAAGGAUGUGGAAUGGAGAGGAGGAGGAGGAAAAUUGGGAAAUAUAUGAAUGAUUCGUGUAUAAAUGGUCAUAUGUUUGAUUAUAACUGAUAAACGAUGAAAUAUGAAUGAUGCUUAUUUUUGUGCAUUAUUGGUCAUGGUUUAAGCUCAUGUGUGAAAAUAAAGUUUCAUAGUAUGUGUGUAUGGUAUAUUCAGUAUAUGAUUUGGCAUGAAAUAAUACCAUGAAUGGUUAAUGAAUUAACACAUGUUGGUAAGCCUGAUAUAUGAAUAAAUGAUCAAAUUGAGCGGAACGCCGGAUUUGAGUACUUCUGAUCAAGUGACAAAGUGAUAAGCGGUAGCUUUAGCUACACUUAUCUGAUCAAGUGACAAGUGAAAAGUGAUAAGUGAUAGCUUCGGCUAUACUUAUCUGAUCAAGUGACAAAGUGAUAAGUGAUAGCUUCAGCUACACUUAUCUGAUCAAGUGACAAGUGAUAGCUUCGGCUACACUUAUCUGAUCAAGUGACAAGUGAAAAGUGAUAAGUGAUAGCUUCGGCUAUACUUAUCUGAUCAAUAGACAAAGUGAUAAGUGAUAGCUUUAGCUACACUUAUCUGAUCAAGAGACAAAGUGAUAAGUGGCUACACUUAUCUGAUCAAGAAACAAAUUGAUAAGUGGCUACACUUAUCUGAUCAAGAAACAAAGUGAUAAGUGGCUACACUUAUCUGAUCAAGAAACAAAGUGAUAAGUGGCUACACUUAUCUGAUCAGUGACAAGUGAUAAGUGAUCAUACGUAAGACCAUAGUUAUACUAUGGCAAAGUGAAAGUGAAGUACUCAAUUUUCCGUAACCGUUCCCUAAUUUGAUUAAGUAUGGUAAGUGACAAAUGGGCCCAAAAGAAUUAAAGUAAAUGAAUAAGUGGUAGCGUAUUUAUAUCAGGACGAUGUUGUUAUUCAAGAUAAAGUGAUAUUUUCAUUGCAAAAUUCAGAAUUUCAUAAAUGUGUUAUUGAAUGAUAUAAUCAAUAAACAUUGAGUUAAAUGGUAAAUACGUAUUAAUGUUGAACUUGAUGUCAUUGAAUUGUACGUGAAUUAAAUGGAAAUUGCUAGUGAUAUGAUUUAAAUUGUGAGCAUGACAAAUUGCGAAUUGAAUAAAAUGGAAAUGAAGCAUUGAAUUGCAUGAGUAUGUAUCGGGUCUCAUAGGCCUUAAUUAUUAUGAUUAUAAUAUUUCGAGGAUAUAUUGUGAAAAGUUAUAGAAGCAUGUUAAUUAUUUUGAAGGUUUUAAUUUAGAUGAAAUUUUAUAACUCGGUUAAAUACGCUUACAAGUGUAUGUGUUUUGGUGAUACCUCGUACCCUAUUCCGGUGUUAGAUACGGGUAAGGGGUGUUACAAUAUAAAUAUGAAAUGAGAAUUAAAUUGAAUACUAUAAGUAUAAAAUGGAUUGAAAUUGUUUAUUUAGAUCAAAAUAAACCACGUACGAACCUAGAUUGAGGCAAAGUAAAAGCUUUAGAUUAGAUCAAUUUAACUUCUACGCCCCUAGUCGUCGAGGUAAGUUUGUAUGAACAAUUAUUGUAUUACUUAAAUUGUAUGUUAUUAUGUUAUUUAUAAUGUUAAUUGAGUGAUGUAUAAAGAAAUCAAUGCUAUGACAGUUAUCAAGUCCUAAUUGAACUUUAAGAAUUCGUAGGAUACAAAUGACAUGUCAUUAGGGAUUUCAUGUUUCAGGUACUGGUCUUGAAUGUCCUAUCGAUGGCUGAGGUCCCACAUUGUUACGGAUACUCCACAGCUCGUGUGAAUAGCAUCAUGAAGCUUACAUUUUGACUCGCAUCUUGUGUGAGCAGGCCCAUUUCACAACUCGUGUGAGCAAUGAUGUAAAGGAAAUGUUACGGUUAUAUAUAAAGGCACACUUCGUGUGAGCUUACUCGAGUAUCCGAUGAAAUUCUAGAUGAUUCAAUGG